UGUGUAACUACUACCCCUGAAGCGUAGGUGUAUUAAACCACUCAAGCUAAUGCAAUCCCAAAAGGAAGAAGCUUUAGAGUUAUUUAUACUAUUGCUACCAAACUUUUCAGAACCCUUAAGGAUUUCAAUAAAGAAACCCAUAUUAAGAAAGAGUUAUUGGUAAAGUCCUUAAUGGUGUUAGCAAAGUCUAUAAUUUGGUCCUAAAGGAGUUCUCAAUCAGUAAAAUUAUUACUAAAAUAUAUUGCACGGAAGAACCAAGAGAAGGGAAUGCUAUUUGUUUAAAUAGACAUGGAUUGCUUGGGAGGAGAUGGAAAUGUAAAUGAUGUUAAGGUUGUCGUCACUGUACAUAAUUUCCAGUCACCCAGUAUUGCCAUUAGCAAAAUAUUGGAUUUUAUUAGUGAAGCCAAUUCCUCCGAAAUAAGUUUAUAAUAACUCAUUCUAGUUUCAAUAAAGGCAAGGAUAUCAGGCUGUGGAUGUCUAUAAUGAACUUACAAUAUCGUUUGAAUUCAACACCGUUCGCCUCUCUACCAUUUUAUAUGACAAAAUUUAUUGUUAACUAGAUUAUUUUAGAGGGUAUAUCCCUCAUUAUUCCCUUGCCUUUCCCUAGAGGAGGUGUUAAUACAGUGGGGGGCAUUCCCUUCCUUCAUUUCGAUAAAAAAUUCAUCCUUGGACUGAAGAAUUUGAACCUUGUGAGAGUUGGAAAGGUGAUAUCUAGACUGGAUCGGAGAUUUCUUGAGGUCUGAUGGCUCCAGUGGGACAAGUAGAGACGGUUAAUUAUCAGUCAUGGCGCGUGGGUCUUACUCGCUAUUAAUUACAGUGGAAGUGGGUGGUAAGAUGAAGAAAGGGUGACCAGUCUCUCAAUUAUGGAUCUUCAUAUUUCUUUACACGCUUUUUUGUUUUGUAAUUUUCAUAUUCCUAUUCAAACAUCUUAUAUUUUUAAAAUGCUGAAUUUUUUUAUUAAUUAUACAUUUUAGAGGGAAUUAUAUUUUUGGUCCCUCAAUUAUUGAUAAA
Molecule: long non-coding RNA, 1011 nt
Organism: Capsicum annuum
Lineage: Eukaryota; Viridiplantae; Streptophyta; Magnoliopsida; Solanales; Solanaceae
Exons: 2
Source: RefSeq, a predicted model, not a curated record